Molecule: ribosomal RNA, 516 nt
Filed under: uncultured bacterium
Lineage: Bacteria
Description: bacterial SSU rRNA
Rfam family: Bacterial small subunit ribosomal RNA
Source: RNAcentral
UGGGGAAUCUUGCGCAAUGGCCUAACGGCUGACGCAGCGACGCCGCGUGUGGGAGGACGCCUUUCGGGGUGUAAACCACUGUUGCCCGGGACGAACGACCUGUUUCGACAGGUGUGACGGUACCGGGUGAGGAAGCACCGGCUAACUCCGUGCCAGCAGCCGCGGUAAUACGGAGGGUGCGAGCGUUGUCCGGAAUCAUUGGGCGUAAAGGGCGCGUAGGUGGCCCGGUCAGUCCGUGGGUGAAAGCGCGGGGCUCAACCCUGCGUCGGCCAUGGAUACUGCUGCGGCUUGAGCACUGUAGAGGCAGGCGGAAUUCCGGGUGUAGCGGUGGAAUGCGUAGAGAUCCGGAAGAACACCGGUGGCGAAGGCGGCCUGCUGGGCAGUUUGGCUGACACUGAGGCGCGACAGCGUGGGGAGCAAACAGGAUUAGAUACCCUGGUAGUCCACGCCGUAAACGAUGGGCACUAGGCGCUUGGGGGAGCGACCCUCCGAGGGCCGGCGCUAACGCAUUAAGUG